GCCCGGGUGGCGGAAUUGGCAGACGCGCAAGCUUGAGGUGCUUGUGUCCGAUUACAGGACGUGCUGGUUCGAAUCCAGUCCCGGGCA
RNAcentral lists this transfer RNA (87 nucleotides) under Planctomycetota bacterium. RNAcentral describes it as "Planctomycetes bacterium tRNA-Leu". It matches the Rfam family "tRNA". From Rfam's summary of the family: Transfer RNA (tRNA) molecules are approximately 80 nucleotides in length. The record is from RNAcentral. Lineage: Bacteria; Pseudomonadati; Planctomycetota.